CCGGCACGGGUGAGUAACACGUAUCCAACCUGCCGUCUACUCUUGGACAGCCUUCUGAAAGGAAGAUUAAUACAAGAUGGCAUCAUGAGUCCGCAGGUUCACAUGAUUAAAGGUAUUCCGGUAGACGAUGGGGAUGCGUUCCAUUAGAUAGUAGGCGGGGUAACGGCCCACCUAGUCUUCGAUGGAUAGGGGUUCUGAGAGGAAGGUCCCCCACAUUGGAACUGAGACACGGUCCAA
RNAcentral lists this ribosomal RNA (237 nucleotides) under uncultured bacterium. Its description in RNAcentral is "partial 16S ribosomal RNA". It matches the Rfam family "Bacterial small subunit ribosomal RNA", at positions 100 to 334 of the family's 1533-position model. The record is from RNAcentral.